UAGAGAGGAAACCCCCGAUUUUUCUAAAUGUAUUUUCUUUUUUUUUUUCUAAAUAAAACAGCAUUAUUCCCAGAGUGAAUUCAGAAGGAUUAGAUGAGGUAACCCUGCAAAAUCCUAAACCCGUUUCCUCCCCCCUAGUCUUGACUAAGAAGCUGCAUGCUCUUAAGAGCAUUGGAAAAAUCUCUCAAAAUGAAGAAUUCCUUUCUAAUCAAACAGAUUUCUUGAUUAAUUUCCAAAUUCCUUCUAAAAUAAAUAAUCCAGCUAGGCUUGGGCAAAAAAAUUUCUUUUUCUAAGCAAAAUAAGUUUUAGUGCGAGUUCUCUCUCUACCUGAUGUUACAGGGUUCACUAAUAAUGCUUUCACAAACAUAAAUGUUGUUUUUACAUUUGUUUGCAGAUCACUUAAAGUGCAAAUUGCAUUUUAUUUUAUUCCAGACAUUGUAAUUUCAAUGGUACUAGUUCAUAUUUAGAACUUACAUAAAUACAUGCUUGUCAUUAAAAAAAAUCUAUUGCUGUAGCAGUGACGCUAAGGCUAGGAUUAGAAAGGGGGGGAGGAAGAAAGAGAGAAAGAGAGAGAGACUGAGACUCUUGUUCUUCCUGCAUUUGUUUGCUUGCUUUUUGGAGGUACCGUCCACCCGCCUAAGUGAUGGCUUUGAUGUACUGGGAAUCGGUACAGUAGCAGGGUCCCUGGCUGCUGUCUUUGAUUCCAGGGAUCUCCUUUGGGCUCUGGUGGAUGUACUGCUCCUAGUCUUUAUCUGAAAUCCAUCCUCUCAUUUCAAGCCCUUUGGCUUCCAGACUCUGCUCCAAACUCUUGGAGGUAGCUUUAAGACUUUUUUUUUUUUUUUUUUUGGGCAUUAGGGAAGGGGUAUGUAAUUUCCCCCCUUUCUCCACUCUAGACCUUUCCUCGCUAUUUAAAUAUAUUGGCUUUCUUUCUUACGAAUUUAGUCUGAAAUUAUUUUUCACUGCCUUUAUUACAUCCCUGCUUUUGAUGGCAAAAUAGCUUCCUGUGUUUUGAAAACAUCUGCUUUCCAGGUUUUACACGAGAAAAUUGAUUUUACUUUUCUCUUCAGUCCAGAAAGGUAGAAAGUUGGACUUGUUUCCAAGUGCAACUUUUCCUUUUCUUGUCUUUCCUUAAGUUACCCCCUUUCAGUUCUGAUUCACGUUCCCCCUUUUAUUUCUUCUAAUCAUCACUCCCCCCUUCCCCUCUCCUUCUAAAGAACCAGAGAAGAUUGAUCGCUUCUUAUUUCAGAAGACAAAAUUAACAUAUUAUAUAUUUUUUUGUCUAGUCUAUGGUAUGUGUUAAAGUUAUCUCCGUAUUUUCUAUAUUUGUCCUCUGAUUUGGGGGGAGCUAAUUUUCCUCCUUUAAAAAAAAUCUCAGAUUUGCAAUUUAAAGUGGCCUGUAUGCUAAGUCUCUGCCUUUCACUUAAAUCUUUGCUUUAAGCUAUCCCACUCUAUUCUUGCCCCCCUUACUCCUCUCUUCGUUGAUGCUUUCUUCCCAUUUAAUUUAAGCAUCGCUGCUUUUGCCAAAAAAAGAAGAGAAAGAGAAAAAGAAAAAACGAGAAAGAAGGAGAAAGAAAAAAGAGAAAGAAAGAAAAAAAAUCUUAAAAAAAAAAUCUUAGCCAGGUUCCUAUUGUUGCUUCUCUGCAUUUCACUUCUCGGUGUGUGUGUGUGUGUGUGUGCGUGUGCGUGUGCCGCGUGUGUGUAUGUGUUUUUAAUACAUGCAUAAACUUUUGGUGCCUCUCUCCCUCUUCCUGGGCUCUUCUCUCAUCCUCUCUUCCUGCUCUCCUGGCCCUGCUCAUCACUUUCCCCUGGUUUUUUUUUUUUUUUUUUCCUCCCUUCCUCCCCUCUGCCUCCCUCCACCUCCCCCUUUUCUUUUUUGCUGAAUCUUAUUGAUCCAGAAGGUGGCUAAUUAGCCCUUCCCGUCGUGCCUGGCUCCCACUUCCAGCGCGUCCCCUCCGACCGCUGCAGCCGCCGCCGCCGCCGCCGCCUCCUCCUCCUCCUCCUCCCGGCCGCAGCCGCCGCCGCCACCGCCUGCUUUGCAUCCCAAUUACAGCCUAGAGCCGCUGCCGCCGCCGCCGCCGCUUCUCCUCCGUGGCCCCUGCCCG
Molecule: long non-coding RNA, 2102 nt
Organism: Equus asinus (donkey)
Lineage: Eukaryota; Metazoa; Chordata; Mammalia; Perissodactyla; Equidae
Source: Ensembl